GACACGACCGUACCGCAAACCGACACUGGUGCGCGAGAUGAGUAUUCUAAGGCGCUUGAGAGAACUCAGGAGAAGGAACUCGGCAAAUUGACACCGUAACUUCGGAAGAAGGUGUGCCUUUAGUAGGUGAACCAUUUACUUGGGGAGCCCAAUGAGGCUGCAAAAAAUCGGUGGCUGCAACUGUUUAUUAAAAACACAGCACUCUGCUAAGACGAAAGUCGACGUAUAGGGUGUGACGCCUGCCCGGUGCUGGAAGAUUAAAUGAUGGGGUGCAAGCUCUUGAUUGAAGUCCCAGUAAACGGCGGCCGUAACUAUAACGGUCCUAAGGUAGCGAAAUUCCUUGUCGGGUAAGUUCCGACCUGCACGAAUGGCGUAAUGAUGGCCACACUGUCUCCUCCUGAGACUCAGCGAAGUUGAAAUGUUUGUGAUGAUGCAAUCUCCCCGCGGAAAGAUGGAAAGACCCCAUGAACCUUUACUGUAGCUUUGUAUUGGACUUUGAACAGAUCUGUGUAGGAUAGGUGGGAGUCUUUGAAGUGUGGUCGCUAGAUCGCAUGGAGCCAACGUUGAAAUACCACCCUGGUGUGUUUGAGGUUCUAACCUAGGUCCAUUAUCUGGAUCGGGGACAGUGCAUGGUAGGCAGUUUGACUGGGGCGGUCUCCUCCCAAAGUGUAACGGAGGAGUUCGAAGGUACGCUAGGUACGGUCGGACAUCGUGCUAAUAGUGCAAUGGCAUAAGCGUGCUUAACUGCGAGACUGACAAGUCGAGCAGAUGCGAAAGCAGGACAUAGUGAUCCGGUGGUUCUGUAUGGAAGGGCCAUCGCUCAACGGAUAAAAGGUACUCUGGGGAUAACAGGCAGAUACCGCCCAAGAGUUCAUAUCGACGGCGGUGUUUGGCACCUCGAUGUCGGCUCAUCUCAUCCUGGGGCUGUAGCCGGUCCCAAGGGUAUGGCUGUUCGCCAUUUAAAGAGGUACGUGAGCUGGGUUUAAAACGUCGUGAGACAGUUUGGUCCCUAUCUUCCGUGGGCGCUGCAGAUUUGAGGAAGCCUGCUCCUAGUACGAGAGGACCGGAGUGGACGAACCUCUGGUGUAUCGGUUGUCACGCCAGUGGCAUUGCCGAGUAGCUAAGUUCGGAAGAGAUAACCGCUGAAAGCAUCUAAGCGGGAAACUCGUUUCAAGAUUAGAUCUGCCGGGGCCUUGAGCCCCCUAAAGAGUCGCUCAAGACCAGGACGUUGAUAGGUCAGGUGUGGAAGC
RNAcentral lists this ribosomal RNA (1250 nucleotides) under metagenome. RNAcentral describes it as "bacterial LSU rRNA". It matches the Rfam family "Bacterial large subunit ribosomal RNA", at positions 1635 to 2874 of the family's 2925-position model. The record is from RNAcentral.